UCUGUGAGAGGGUAUUGCAUACAAAUCGAGUAAUCAAGGGAAAGCAGGUUUACCACCCAAUCUUAUAUUGCAUGUACGUUUUGAUCUAUUAUCAACAUUAUUGAACUCAUUUAAAAAAAAAAUACUUCUCUUUUUCUUUGUUUUUUUUCAGGGGAGAAAAUGUCUUCCUACCAAUUUUAGUAGCUUAAGCAUUACUAAUACUCGCUUUAAGAUUUUCCAUGUUUAAUAAACAGGGAUUUGAAGAACAAUUAUGAGUAAACCAAUGGUUAAGAUUGAUUGUGUUUGUGAAAUAAAGAAAUGUUCAAGAGAUUGUGGCUAAAGCUUAUGUCAUAGUAGAUGAACUUUAUAUGUACCAUCAGAAGGAGAACAAAAGGGAGG
This 378-nucleotide long non-coding RNA is filed under the name Elaeis guineensis (African oil palm). RNAcentral describes it as "long non-coding RNA (EGUI_LNC007615)". Lineage: Eukaryota; Viridiplantae; Streptophyta; Magnoliopsida; Arecales; Arecaceae. The record is from RNAcentral.